GACAGAGGUGCCGAGCGUUAGGCGGAAUCACUGGGCUUAAAGCGUGUGUAGGCGGGCGAUCAAGUACCUUGUGAAAUCCCACGGCUCAACCGUGGAACUGCUGGGUAUACUGGUUGUCUUGAGCCAGCUAGGGGCGAGCGGAACAGACGGUGGAGCGGUGAAAUGCGUAGAUAUAUGGAAGAACACCAAUAACGGCGAAGGCAGUUAACUAUUCUGCUACUGACAUUGAGGCACGAAAGCGUGGGGAGCAAAAAGG
RNAcentral lists this ribosomal RNA (256 nucleotides) under uncultured bacterium. Its description in RNAcentral is "partial 16S ribosomal RNA". It matches the Rfam family "Bacterial small subunit ribosomal RNA", at positions 524 to 776 of the family's 1533-position model. The record is from RNAcentral.